UUGUCUCAAAGAUUAAGCCAUGCAUGUCUAAGUAUAAGCAACUUGUACUGUGAAACUGCGAAUGGCCCAUUAAAUCAGUUAUCGUUUAUUUGAUAGUACCUUACUACAUGGAUACCUGUGGUAAUUCUAGAGCUAAUACAUGCUAAAAACCCCGACUUCAGGAAGGGGUGUAUUUAUUAGAUAAAAAACCAACGCCCUUCGGGGCUCCUUGGUGAAUCAUAAUAACUUAACGAAUCGCAUGGCCUUGCGCCGGCGAUGGUUCAUUCAAAUUUCUGCCCUAUCAACUUUCGAUGGUAGGAUAGUGGCCUACCAUGGUGGCAACGGGUAACGGGGAAUUAGGGUUCGAUUCCGGAGAGGGAGCCUGAGAAACGGCUACCACAUCCAAGGAAGGCAGCAGGCGCGCAAAUUACCCAAUCCCGAUACGGGGAGGUAGUGACAAUAAAUACUGAUACGAGGCUCUUUUGGGUCUCGUAAUUGGAAUGAGAACAAUUUAAAUCCCUUAACGAGGAACAAUUGGAGG
Molecule: ribosomal RNA, 520 nt
Filed under: uncultured fungus
Lineage: Eukaryota; Fungi
Description: SSU rRNA
Rfam family: Eukaryotic small subunit ribosomal RNA
Source: RNAcentral